Molecule: ribosomal RNA, 535 nt
Filed under: Aspidiotus nerii (oleander scale)
Lineage: Eukaryota; Metazoa; Arthropoda; Insecta; Hemiptera; Diaspididae
Description: SSU rRNA
Rfam family: Eukaryotic small subunit ribosomal RNA
Source: RNAcentral
CAAAGAUUAAGCCAUGCAUGUCUCAGUGCAAGCCGUCCUGUACGGUGAAACCGCGAAAGGCUCAUUAAAUCAGUUAUGGUUCCUUAGAUAGUACCCACGUUACUUGGAUAACUGUGGUAAUUCUAGAGCUAAUACAUGCCGACAGAGUUCCGACCAGCGUCGCGGCGGCUUGCCGUUCGCGACGUUCGGAAGGAGCGCUUUUAUUAGAUCAAAAUCGGCCAAGCGCAACGUUCGCGUAGCGUUAGUGGCCCGCGCAAAGACUUGACGACUCUGAAUAACUUCGAGCUGAUCGCACGGUCUCGCACCGGCGACGUAUCUUUCAAAUGUCUGCCUUAUCAACUGUCGACGGUACGUUCGAUGCUUACCGUGGUGGUAACGGGUAACGGGGAAUCAGGGUUCGAUUCCGGAGAGGGAGCCUGAGAAACGGCUACCACAUCCAAGGAAGGCAGCAGGCGCGCAAAUUACCCACUCCCAGCUCGGGGAGGUAGUGACGAAAAAUAACGAUACGGGACUCAUCCGAGGCCCCGUAAUCGGA